UACGUAGGGCGCGAGCGUUGUCCGGAAUUAUUGGGCGUAAAGAGCUCGUAGGCGGCCGGUUGCGUCUGCUGUGAAAUCCCGGGGCUUAACCCCGGGCGUGCAGUGGAUACGGGCCGGCUGGAGGCAGGCAGGGGAGAAUGGAAUUCCCGGUGUAGCGGUGAAAUGCGCAGAUAUCGGGAGGAACACCGGUGGCGAAGGCGGUUCUCUGGGCCUGUACUGACGCUGAGAAGCGAAAGCAUGGGGAGCGAACAGG
RNAcentral lists this ribosomal RNA (253 nucleotides) under uncultured bacterium. Its description in RNAcentral is "partial 16S ribosomal RNA". It matches the Rfam family "Bacterial small subunit ribosomal RNA", at positions 524 to 776 of the family's 1533-position model. The record is from RNAcentral.